GGGUUGUGAGGUUAAGCGACUAAGCGUACACGGUGGAUGCCCUGGCAGUCAGAGGCGAUGAAGGACGUGCUAAUCUGCGAUAAGCGUCGGUAAGGUGAUAUGAACCGUUAUAACCGGCGAUUUCCGAAUGGGGAAACCCAGUGUGUUUCGACACACUAUCAUUAACUGAAUCCAUAGGUUAAUGAGGCGAACCGGGGGAACUGAAACAUCUAAGUACCCCGAGGAAAAGAAAUCAACCGAGAUUCCCCCAGUAGCGGCGAGCGAACGGGGAGCAGCCCAGAGCCUGAAUCAGUGUGUGUGUUAGUGGAAGCGUCUGGAAAGGCGCGCGAUACAGGGUGACAGCCCCGUACACAAAAAUGCACAUGCUGUGAGCUCGAUGAGUAGGGCGGGACACGUGGUAUCCUGUCUGAAUAUGGGGGGACCAUCCUCCAAGGCUAAAUACUCCUGACUGACCGAUAGUGAACCAGUACCGUGAGGGAAAGGCGAAAAGAACCCCGGCGAGGGGAGUGAAAAAGAACCUGAAACCGUGUACGUACAAGCAGUGGGAGCCUCUUUAUGGGGUGACUGCGUACCUUUUGUAUAAUGGGUCAGCGACUUAUAUUCUGUAGCAAGGUUAACCGAAUAGGGGAGCCGAAGGGAAACCGAGUCUUAACUGGGCGUUAAGUUGCAGGGUAUAGACCCGAAACCCGGUGAUCUAGCCAUGGGCAGGUUGAAGGUUGGGUAACACUAACUGGAGGACCGAACCGACUAAUGUUGAAAAAUUAGCGGAUGACUUGUGGCUGGGGGUGAAAGGCCAAUCAAACCGGGAGAUAGCUGGUUCUCCCCGAAAGCUAUUUAGGUAGCGCCUCGUGAAUUCAUCUCCGGGGGUAGAGCACUGUUUCGGCAAGGGGGUCAUCCCGACUUACCAACCCGAUGCAAACUGCGAAUACCGGAGAAUGUUAUCACGGGAGACACACGGCGGGUGCUAACGUCCGUCGUGAAGAGGGAAACAACCCAGACCGCCAGCUAAGGUCCCAAAGUCAUGGUUAAGUGGGAAACGAUGUGGGAAGGCCCAGACAGCCAGGAUGUUGGCUUAGAAGCAGCCAUCAUUUAAAGAAAGCGUAAUAGCUCACUGGUCGAGUCGGCCUGCGCGGAAGAUGUAACGGGGCUAAACCAUGCACCGAAGCUGCGGCAGCGACGCUUAUGCGUUGUUGGGUAGGGGAGCGUUCUGUAAGCCUGUGAAGGUGUGCUGUGAGGCAUGCUGGAGGUAUCAGAAGUGCGAAUGCUGACAUAAGUAACGAUAAAGCGGGUGAAAAGCCCGCUCGCCGGAAGACCAAGGGUUCCUGUCCAACGUUAAUCGGGGCAGGGUGAGUCGACCCCUAAGGCGAGGCCGAAAGGCGUAGUCGAUGGGAAACAGGUUAAUAUUCCUGUACUUGGUGUUACUGCGAAGGGGGGACGGAGAAGGCUAUGUUGGCCGGGCGACGGUUGUCCCGGUUUAAGCGUGUAGGCUGGUUUUCCAGGCAAAUCCGGAAAAUCAAGGCUGAGGCGUGAUGACGAGGCACUACGGUGCUGAAGCAACAAAUGCCCUGCUUCCAGGAAAAGCCUCUAAGCAUCAGGUAACAUCAAAUCGUACCCCAAACCGACACAGGUGGUCAGGUAGAGAAUACCAAGGCGCUUGAGAGAACUCGGGUGAAGGAACUAGGCAAAAUGGUGCCGUAACUUCGGGAGAAGGCACGCUGAUAUGUAGGUGAAGUCCCUCGCGGAUGGAGCUGAAAUCAGUCGAAGAUACCAGCUGGCUGCAACUGUUUAUUAAAAACACAGCACUGUGCAAACACGAAAGUGGACGUAUACGGUGUGACGCCUGCCCGGUGCCGGAAGGUUAAUUGAUGGGGUUAGCGGUAACGCGAAGCUCUUGAUCGAAGCCCCGGUAAACGGCGGCCGUAACUAUAACGGUCCUAAGGUAGCGAAAUUCCUUGUCGGGUAAGUUCCGACCUGCACGAAUGGCGUAAUGAUGGCCAGGCUGUCUCCACCCGAGACUCAGUGAAAUUGAACUCGCUGUGAAGAUGCAGUGUACCCGCGGCAAGACGGAAAGACCCCGUGAACCUUUACUAUAGCUUGACACUGAACAUUGAGCCUUGAUGUGUAGGAUAGGUGGGAGGCUUUGAAGUGUGGACGCCAGUCUGCAUGGAGCCGACCUUGAAAUACCACCCUUUAAUGUUUGAUGUUCUAACG
RNAcentral lists this ribosomal RNA (2211 nucleotides) under Escherichia coli. RNAcentral's name for it is "partial 23S ribosomal RNA". It matches the Rfam family "Bacterial large subunit ribosomal RNA", at positions 1 to 2227 of the family's 2925-position model. The record is from RNAcentral. Lineage: Bacteria; Pseudomonadati; Pseudomonadota; Gammaproteobacteria; Enterobacterales; Enterobacteriaceae.